AUUGAACGCUGGCGGCAUGCUUUACACAUGCAAGUCGAACGGCAGCGGGUCCUUCGGGAUGCCGGCGAGUGGCGAACGGGUGAGUAAUGCAUCGGAACGUACCGUGUAAUGGGGGAUAACGUAGCGAAAGUUACGCUAAUACCGCAUACGCCCUGAGGGGGAAAGCGGGGGAUCGCAAGACCUCGCGUUAUACGAGCGGCCGAUGUCGGAUUAGCUAGUUGGUGGGGUAAAGGCCCACCAAGGCGACGAUCCGUAGCGGGUCUGAGAGGAUGAUCCGCCACACUGGGACUGAGACACGGCCCAGACUCCUACGGGAGGCAGCAGUGGGGAAUUUUGGACAAUGGGCGCAAGCCUGAUCCAGCCAUGCCGCGUGAGUGAAGAAGGCCUCGG
This 390-nucleotide ribosomal RNA is filed under the name uncultured bacterium. RNAcentral's name for it is "bacterial SSU rRNA". It matches the Rfam family "Bacterial small subunit ribosomal RNA", at positions 29 to 420 of the family's 1533-position model. The record is from RNAcentral.